This 815-nucleotide ribosomal RNA is filed under the name Serpula himantioides. Its description in RNAcentral is "LSU rRNA". It matches the Rfam family "Eukaryotic large subunit ribosomal RNA", at positions 81 to 867 of the family's 3401-position model. The record is from RNAcentral. Lineage: Eukaryota; Fungi; Basidiomycota; Agaricomycetes; Boletales; Serpulaceae.
UAGUAACUGCGAGUGAAGCGGGAAGAGCUCAAAUUUUGAAUCUGGCGGUCCUCGUGGUCGUCCGAGUUGUAAUCUAGAGAAGCGUUUUCCGCGCUGGACCGUGUACAAGUCUCCUGGAACGGAGCGUCAUAGAGGGUGAGAAUCCCGUCUCUGACACGGACUACCAGGGCUUUUGUGAUGCGCUCUCGACGAGUCGAGUUGUUUGGGAAUGCAGCUCAAAUUGGGUGGUAAAUUCCAUCUAAAGCUAAAUACAGGCGAGAGACCGAUAGCGAACAAGUACCGUGAGGGAAAGAUGAAAAGAACUUUGGAAAGAGAGUUAAACAGUACGUGAAAUUGCUGAAAGGGAAACGCUUGAAGUCAGUCGCGUUGGCCGGGGAUCAGCCUUGCAAUCUUGUUGGGUGCAUUUCCUGGUUGACGGGUCAGCAUCAAUUUUGACCGUCGGAGAAGGGUCGAGGGAAUGUGGCAUCCUUCGGGGUGUGUUAUAGCCUUUGAUCGUAUGCGACGGUUGGGAUUGAGGAACUCAGCAUGACCCCUCGUGGGUUUGGGGCUUCGGCUCACAUCCAUGCUUAGGAUGCUGGCAUAAUGGCUUUAAGCGACCCGUCUUGAAACACGGACCAAGGAGUCUAACAUGCCCGCGAGUGUUUGGGUGUUUAAAACCCGAGCGCGUAAUGAAAGUGAAAGUUGAGACCUCUGUCGUGGAGGGCAUCGACGCCCGGACCAGAACUUCUGUGACGGCCCUGCGGUAGAGCGUGUAUGUUGGGACCCGAAAGAUGGUGAACUAUGCCUGAAUAGGGUGAAGCCAGAGGAAACUCUGG